GAUGAACGCUGGCGGCGUGCCUAAUACAUGCAAGUCGAGCGAACUUUUGGGAGCUUGCGCUCAAUUGUUAGCGGCUGACGGGUGAGUAACAAGUGGCUAACCUGCUUGUUAGACUGGGGUAAUUACGGCAAACCAGAGCUAAUACCGGCUAACAAUGACGCCCACACGGCCUUCAAUUAAAAGGUGGCUCUUACCAACCACUUACCGCAGGACCCGCGGCGCAUUAGCUAGUUGGUGAGGUAACGGCUCACCAAGGCGACGAUUCGUAGCCGAGCUGGGCGGGAUGACGACCAAAACGGGAAUGAGAAAAGGGCCAGAAUCCUACGGGGGGGAGCAAGAGGGGAUCAUCCGAAAUGGGGGGAAGUCUGAAGGAGGAACGCCGGGGGGGCGGAGGAGGCCUUCGGGUUGUAAAGCUCUGUUGUUAGGGAAGAAAAAGUAUCGUGCGAAUAGGGCGGUACCUUGACGGUACCUAACCAGAAAGCCACGGCUAACUACGUG
RNAcentral lists this ribosomal RNA (498 nucleotides) under uncultured bacterium. Its description in RNAcentral is "partial 16S ribosomal RNA". It matches the Rfam family "Bacterial small subunit ribosomal RNA", at positions 28 to 507 of the family's 1533-position model. The record is from RNAcentral.